AGUUCGGAUUGCAGGCUGCAACCCGCCUGUAUGAAGUUGGAAUCGCUAGUAAUCGCGGAUCAGCAUGCCGCGGUGAAUACGUCCCCGGGCCUUGUACACACCGCCCGUCACACCAUGAGAGUCGGGAACACCCGAAGUCCGUAGUCUAACUUUCACGAGAGGACGCGGCCGAAGGUGGGUUCGAUAAUUGGGGUGAAGUCGUAACAAGGUAGC
RNAcentral lists this ribosomal RNA (213 nucleotides) under uncultured bacterium. Its description in RNAcentral is "partial 16S ribosomal RNA". It matches the Rfam family "Bacterial small subunit ribosomal RNA", at positions 1290 to 1500 of the family's 1533-position model. The record is from RNAcentral.